This 240-nucleotide unclassified non-coding RNA is filed under the name soil metagenome. Its description in RNAcentral is "partial contains 5.8S ribosomal RNA, internal transcribed spacer 2, and large subunit ribosomal RNA". The record is from RNAcentral.
AACCAUUCUCACCUGCGGCUAGACCUGCGGAGGGAUCAUUACAGAGUUGCAAAACUCCCUAAACCAUUGUGAACGUUACCUAAACCGUUGCUUCGGCGGGCGGCCCGGGUCCUUCCCGGCGCCCAUCGGCCCUCGCGGGCGCCCGCCGGAGGUAAACCAAACUAUUGCAUUGUAUGGCCUCUCUGAGUCUUCUGUACUGAAUAAGUCAAAACUUUCAACAACGGAUCUCAGAUCGGAAGA